Small nucleolar RNA from Oryctolagus cuniculus (rabbit), 128 nucleotides. The record is from Ensembl. Lineage: Eukaryota; Metazoa; Chordata; Mammalia; Lagomorpha; Leporidae.
UUAGCACUUUCACAGGUCCUCCCCUAGGCAGUGGGGCCAGGAUUUGGUAGCUGGUGCUGAAAGAAAAUCCUGAUUGUAUCUUUGCGCUGGGAUUGUACCAGUGGCAGUUGACACUCAAUCGGACAGAG